Molecule: transfer RNA, 74 nt
Filed under: Sphaerodactylus townsendi
Lineage: Eukaryota; Metazoa; Chordata; Lepidosauria; Squamata; Sphaerodactylidae
Description: tRNA-Gln
Rfam family: tRNA
About the family: Transfer RNA (tRNA) molecules are approximately 80 nucleotides in length. Their secondary structure includes four short double-helical elements and three loops (D, anti-codon, and T loops). Further hydrogen bonds mediate the characteristic L-shaped molecular structure. tRNAs have two regions of fundamental functional importance: the anti-codon, which is responsible for specific mRNA codon recognition, and the 3' end, to which the tRNAs corresponding amino acid is attached (by aminoacyl-tRNA synthetases). tRNAs cope with the degeneracy of the genetic code in two manners: having more than one tRNA (with a specific anti-codon) for a particular amino acid; and 'wobble' base-pairing, i.e. permitting non-standard base-pairing at the 3rd anti-codon position.
Source: RNAcentral
AAAUCUGUGGUUCAGGGGUAGAACUUCUGCUUUUGGCAUGCAGAAGAUCCCGAGUUCUAUUCCUGGUAGGGUUG